UAAAACAUUAAACCCUGUGUAGAGCAGCAGAUCUGUGUUUAGCUUUCAACUGCAAGUUCAUUGAGUAAACAUGUUUAUGUAUAUUAUUAUACUGCUAUCAUUAACUAUUGAAGGUUUCAGAGCGACAGAUGUCAUCACUCCAAACACUGACAGUGAAUUUGCUAUUGAAGGGAAUAAUGUGACUCUCUCCUGUAACUAUACUGGAUCUGUUCGUGGUCUUCACUGGUAUCGACAAUAUACAGAUUCAUCACCACAAUUUCUCAUACUGAUCGAUUCAGGAGUAACAACUCUAGCUAAUCCUCCAGUUUCUGGAAUCUCCAUCAAUCACAGAAAAGCUGACAGCAGUGUGGAUCUGAAGAUCUCAUCUGUUAAAGUCACAGACUCUGCUUUGUAUUACUGUGCCAUGAGGCCCACAGUGACAGAAAACACAGGAAACAUGCGAGCACUUGAGACUCCGCCCACCUGA
This is a non-coding RNA of Misgurnus anguillicaudatus (oriental weatherfish), 466 nucleotides long. Lineage: Eukaryota; Metazoa; Chordata; Actinopteri; Cypriniformes; Cobitidae. The record is from the annotation of a RefSeq genome assembly.